Molecule: long non-coding RNA, 440 nt
Organism: Ixodes scapularis (black-legged tick)
Lineage: Eukaryota; Metazoa; Arthropoda; Arachnida; Ixodida; Ixodidae
Exons: 4
Source: RefSeq, a predicted model, not a curated record
UAAGAAGUGAACGUCACACUUUCAAUCUGUUGCUCAGGCUUUCUAUGCCUUGCGUGUGACACACUGCUCGCUUGGAUGCCUGCAAGCGGUCAAUGUGGGUCAAGCUGAGAGCUCUGCGGUUCACCCAGGAGAGGUGCACAAGAAAAUCCAGACUUUCGUCCGCAAAUAUCUUUUGUGCGAGAGACCUACAGAAGGGCUCUUUAUGUCCCUCUGUCCGGUGGUGGUCGCAAGCGAGGCCUGCACCGUUAUUGCCAUCACCAUAGUCUGAAGACCUACAGCAGGGCUCUGCCUGGCUCUGCGUCCCUCUGUCCAGUGGUGGUCGCAAGCGAGGCCUGCACCGUAAUUGCCAUCACCAUAGUCUGAAGACCUACAGCAGGGCUCUGCCUGGCUCUGCGUCCCUCUGUCCAGUGGUGGUCGCAAGCGAGGCCUGCACCGUAAUU